RNAcentral lists this ribosomal RNA (864 nucleotides) under uncultured Zetaproteobacteria bacterium. Its description in RNAcentral is "bacterial SSU rRNA". It matches the Rfam family "Bacterial small subunit ribosomal RNA", at positions 35 to 891 of the family's 1533-position model. Lineage: Bacteria; Pseudomonadati; Pseudomonadota; Candidatius Mariprofundia. The record is from RNAcentral.
GCUGGCGGCGUGCCUAACACAUGCAAGUCGAACGGUAACAGGUCCUUCGGGACGCUGACGAGUGGCGCACGGGUGAGUAACGCGUGGAUAUCUGCCUAUUAGUGGGGGACAACUACGGGAAACCGUAGCUAAUACCGCAUAAGCUCUACGGAGGAAAGCAGGGGACCCCUCGGGGCCUUGCGCUGAUAGAUGAGUCCGCGUCUGAUUAGCUAGUUGGUAAGGUAAUGGCUUACCAAGGCGAUGAUCAGUAACUGGUUUGAGAGGAUGAUCAGUCACACUGGAACUGAGACACGGUCCAGACUCCUACGGGAGGCAGCAGUGGGGAAUAUUGCACAAUGGGCGAAAGCCUGAUGCAGCGACGCCGCGUGCGGGAAGAAGGCCUUCGGGUUGUAAACCGCUUUCAAUUGGGAAGAAGAGAUGAGGGCUAAUAUCCCUCUGAUUUGACGGUACCUUUAGAAGAAGCACCGGCUAAUUUCGUGCCAGCAGCCGCGGUAAUACGAAAGGUGCAAGCGUUGUUCGGAUUUACUGGGCGUAAAGAGAUCGUAGGUGGCUUGUUAAGUCGGAUGUGAAAUCCCGGGGCUCAACCCCGGAACUGCAUUCGAUACUGGCAGGCUAGAGUUUGGGAGGGGUAAGCGGAAUUCCGUGUGUAGCAGUGAAAUGCGUAGAUAUACGGAGGAACACCUGAGGCGAAGGCGGCUUACUGGACCAAUACUGACACUGAGGAUCGAAAGCGUGGGUAGCAAACAGGAUUAGAUACCCUGGUAGUCCACGCCCUAAACGAUGUCAACUAGCCGUUGCGGGUAUCGACCCCUGCAGUGGCGAAGCUAACGCGAUAAGUUGACCGCCUGGGGAGUACGGUCGCAA